UGCCUCAGUAACUGCGAGUGAAGCGGCAAAAGCUCAAAUUUGAAAUCUGGUACCUUUGGGUGCCCGAGUUGUAAUUUGGAGAGGCAACUUCGGAGGAGGCGCUGGCCUAAGUUCCUUGGAACAGGACGUCACAGAGGGUGAGAAUCCCGUGCUUGGCUGGCUGUCCUCCUUCAUGUGAAGUGUCUUCGACGAGUCGAGUUGUUUGGGAAUGCAGCUCAAAAUGGGUGGUAAACUCCAUCUAAGGCUAAAUAUUGGCGAGAGACCGAUAGCGCACAAGUAGAGUGAUCGAAAGAUGAAAAGCACUUUGAAAAGAGAGUUAAAAAGUACGUGAAAUUGUUGAAAGGGAAGCGCUUGAGACCAGACUCGGUGAUUGGUGAUCAGCGGUUGCUUUUGCUCCGUGCACUUGCCUUUUACUGGGCCAGCAUCAGUUGUGACGGCGGGAUAAAGACUUAGGGAAUGUGGCUCUCUUCGGGGAGUGUUAUAGCCCUGGGUGUAAUGCCGCCUGUUACGACUGAGGACCGCGCUUCGGCUAGGAUGCUGGCAUAAUGGUCUUCAGCGACCCGUCUUGAAACACGGACCAAGGAGUCUAACAUCUAUGCGAGUGUUCGGGUGUAAAACCCCUACGCGUAAUGAAAGUGAACGGAGGUGGGAACUCUUCGGAGUGCACCAUCGACCGAUCCUGAUGUCUUCGGAUGGAUUUGAGUAGGAGCAUAGCUGUUGGGACCCGAAAGAUGGUGAACUAUGCCU
This 747-nucleotide ribosomal RNA is filed under the name Plectania sp. RNAcentral's name for it is "partial large subunit ribosomal RNA". It matches the Rfam family "Eukaryotic large subunit ribosomal RNA", at positions 76 to 838 of the family's 3401-position model. The record is from RNAcentral. Lineage: Eukaryota; Fungi; Ascomycota; Pezizomycetes; Pezizales; Sarcosomataceae.